RNAcentral lists this transfer RNA (70 nucleotides) under Thryonomys swinderianus (greater cane rat). RNAcentral's name for it is "transfer RNA-Thr". The record is from RNAcentral. Lineage: Eukaryota; Metazoa; Chordata; Mammalia; Rodentia; Thryonomyidae.
GCUCUAGUAGUAUAAACAUUACAUAGGUCUUGUAAACCUAAAAAGGAAAAUUCAAACAUUCCCUAGAACA